RNAcentral lists this transfer RNA (72 nucleotides) under Ovis aries (sheep). It matches the Rfam family "tRNA". From Rfam's summary of the family: Transfer RNA (tRNA) molecules are approximately 80 nucleotides in length. Lineage: Eukaryota; Metazoa; Chordata; Mammalia; Artiodactyla; Bovidae. The record is from Rfam by way of RNAcentral.
UCCCUGAUGGCUCAGUUGGUUAAGCAUCUGUCUACAAUGCAGGAGACCCAGGUUCGACCCCUGGGUUGGAAA